Molecule: non-coding RNA, 69 nt
Organism: Podarcis lilfordi (Lilford's wall lizard)
Lineage: Eukaryota; Metazoa; Chordata; Lepidosauria; Squamata; Lacertidae
Source: the annotation of a GenBank genome assembly
GGUGUAGCUUAGUGGUAGAACAUCUGCCUUUCAUUCAGAAGGGUCUGGGCUCAAUCUCUGGCUUCUCCA